CCUGGGUGGAACAUGAGAGCGGAAGUCGGCUGCUGUUUUUAUUUAUUCCAGGUUUAAGGGUUCAGUCCAGUCUGAGGCCGGGGUGGGCGACGCUCAGUGAGAACCACGACAUGCUCUCUCUCUCUAAAUUAUGACAUCUCUCUCUCUCUCU
Long non-coding RNA from Poecilia latipinna (sailfin molly), 151 nucleotides. RefSeq lists it as uncharacterized. The record is from RefSeq and is a predicted model, not a curated record. NCBI's taxonomy places the organism in Eukaryota, Metazoa, Chordata, Actinopteri, Cyprinodontiformes, Poeciliidae. The transcript has 3 exons.